CCCUUAGAUGUUCUGGGCUGCACGCGCGCGACAAUGACGUUUGCAACGAGAUUGCGAGGCCGUCAGGUCGAGCUGAUCUUGCAAGCUGCGUCGUGAUAGGGACAGUCGAUUGCAAUUAUUCGACUCGAACGAGGAAUUCCUUGUAAUCGCGCACCAUCAGUGCGCGCUGAAUACGUCCCUGCCCUUUGUACACACCGCCCGUCGCUCCUACCGAUUGAGUGAUUCGGUGAAUGUUUUGGAUCGGCUUCAAGUUGGUUCGCGCCUCUUGCUUGCUGUGAAAUCAUGUAAACCUUAUUGCUUAGAGGAAGGAGAAGUCGUAACA
RNAcentral lists this ribosomal RNA (322 nucleotides) under uncultured eukaryote. RNAcentral describes it as "partial 18S ribosomal RNA". It matches the Rfam family "Eukaryotic small subunit ribosomal RNA", at positions 1470 to 1796 of the family's 1831-position model. The record is from RNAcentral.